Long non-coding RNA from Marmota monax (woodchuck), 2166 nucleotides. RefSeq lists it as uncharacterized. NCBI's taxonomy places the organism in Eukaryota, Metazoa, Chordata, Mammalia, Rodentia, Sciuridae. The transcript is spliced from 3 exons. The record is from RefSeq and is a predicted model, not a curated record.
GGAAGCACCUCCCCAGGCCUGGCUGUGCGUGGGAAUGGCUGGGGAGCUGGGAGGCAGUCCCAAGAGUGGACCCACGCCCGGGGUUCUGAGCUCAUCUGGAGGUUCUUGAACCUCUCCCCAGGGGAGGCUAGGGUGUGCCGGGCAGGAGAGCCACGACUUUAACCUCACCGGAGCUCAGCCUGGGCAGGGGAUUCCACGCGACCAUGACGGAGAAGAAGCCAAGGAGGCCAAGGAGAACGGGGGCCUGAGGCCGCACCUGGUGGUCUCCUCCCCACCGAAGGGCGAGACGCGGGCCCUCUUCUGGGUUUGCGUUGACACCUCUCUCCUUUCAAUCCAAAGCUCAAGUGCUGCCUGGAAAUGGAGUCUGCAGCCCCCCUGGGUGGACCUCCAUUCUUCUGGCUCUUUGGGGCAUCCUGGGUGAGCGGGAGAGUGUGUGUGUGUGUGUGCACCCACGUAUCCCAUGUGCACACGCGUGUGCGCUCCACCAGAAGCAGAGCCCGGUGUCCUUGCUGAGACUCUGGUACUCUCUGUCCUGCCCUUCGAUGCUCUUGCUGCGCCUCAGCCGUGGUGAAGAUUGAGAGAAUCUAGGACAGUGAAUUUCCUCAGAGGGACGAGAAGGUCACAAGGAAAGUCUGCUGCCCUCCACAUCCUCAGUGUUCUAGAACAGGACUGAGGCGAGUUUGAGAAGCUAAAAGCAAUUGGAUAAUUGACCUGUUUUUUUUUUUUUUUUAAUAAACGCAGGAGCCCUGUUCUUCGCUGGAACACAAAAAUGUUUGUGACUUUGAAAAGAAAUAUUGUCUGACUUGUUUUGCCGUCAGCAGAAAUGCUGGCUUCGCUCCCGACCCCUCCUAGCGAAGCCACCAGACAGGACAGACAGGCCUGCCCUUGGCGUUGACAGGGAGGCUGGACCAGCAGCCAGGGCUGGGGAGGCGGGUUAGGCCCUCCUGGGGUGGUGGCCUCCUGGGGGUCACAGCCUCCUGUCCCAGGACCCCGACAGGCUCAGACACCCUGGCGGCCUCGUGCUGUGGGAACAGCAGCCUGGGCCUGAGGAGUUGGGUGGAGGGUGGCUCCCGUGCAGGGGUCAGGUCAGUCCUGACCUCCCUGAGCUGGGGGACCUGGCGUCAGAGCUGGCCUGGAUCGGGCACGCAGUCCGUGACGGAUGGAUGAACACGGACACUCUCGUGGGUGGGUGGACCCUCCUCCUGCUGCCCACACUGUCUGAAGGUCAUGAGCCAUGGAUCUUCUCUGAGCCGUCCGUUUCCUGGGCAGUAAUUAGAUACCUGCUUGGACGAAUUGGUUGAGGAUUUGGGGUCCAGUUAAGGCAUCUUGACGUGCUCUGGACGUUAGAUGUGACAAAAUCUUACUGAAAAAAGAAGGUGUGAGAACCGCGCACCAUGUCCAUAGCACAGUCUGUCUGGGUUGAAAAAUGUGUGCAUGCACGAAUUCCAAUCACAGCUCCCCCCAGAUAUUGUCAAAAUGGCCACUGAGGACGCAGGCGGGUCUCAGGCUGGGGCUCUCGCUCUGUGCGGUGCUCUUCCUGGAAGAUUUCCCAUGUUCCUAUGACGACGAGUUGCCUGGGUGAUGUGCGCACAGUAGGAACUUCCUCUUCAUGGCUGUGGAGGCUGGACCCGAGACCCGGGAGGCAGCAUGGUGGGCCCUGAUGGGGCCGCUCCCCAGGCUGCAGGCUGCCCGGCCUCUGUGUGUCCUCACGACGGGGAGAGAAACCCUGGAGCUCUCUGGGGUCCUGUUGUAAGGACGCUGACCCCCUCCGAGGGCACCACUUGUGACCUGAUCCCCUCCCUAAGGCCCCCUCCUUGGACCACCGCAAUAAUUUCUUUCAUUCAAAACUACAUUAAAAAAUACAAACACACACUCACAAGGACACCCUUUCUGUCUUGUCACACACGUCGCCAGGCCAUUCAGAGUCAGAUGGCUGAGAUGCGGCUGCCUCCUGUUCAUCAUGAACUCAGGCCUCUCAACACUGAGCCAUGGUUCAUGCUAUUCCUUUACAGGUGAGGAACCAGGAGCUCAGAGAAACCAAGCAACUUGUCCAAGGUCGCACAGCAGGAAGGGAAGUGUGGGCGAGCUUUGGACAAAGACAUGCAGAGCCCGUGCCCUUAAGCUUCCCCUGUUCGGCUGCAUCCUCAUAAAGACAAAAAAAGCAAC